This 866-nucleotide long non-coding RNA is filed under the name Homo sapiens (human). RNAcentral describes it as "non-protein coding lnc-SAYSD1-3:2". The record is from RNAcentral. Lineage: Eukaryota; Metazoa; Chordata; Mammalia; Primates; Hominidae.
AUUUCCUGAAGAAACAUGAUCAUUUUGGAAAUUCAUGUUAGAAUCUGAUCGCUUUGGAGGAUCCAGCCCCAAGGAAGAGAGAGAAGUCAGAUUCUGAAGUUCAUGUAAGGUUUCUGUGAUCUUGCUGCUAUAGCCUUUGGAAAUCUACAUCUAUGCAUCAUUUUUAGUGCGGCUGAAGAAAGCUGUUCUUCAUGUGGGUGGCCAAUGCAGAGGGUGCAUGAGCCCCACACUUCAUUAUGGAGAUGACUCUAACUUGGGGGUAUUACUGGGAUUUGGGUGGCUUGGCAUGCUCCCAGGAGAUAUGCACCAUGGAUACAGAAUGUCUCAAGAGCUAUUGCAUUUCUCAUGUAACAAGUGACAGCAAGACUAACUCAGUCAUGGAGCCUGAGAGAUGGGUGCCCCAGGUACCAAGGAAUCCCAUGGACCUUGAGGAUGGGGACCUGGGCACACCCGCCCCCUUGGAGCAGGACACUCACCCCUCGUCCUCAUAGAGCCCACGUUGCCAGUCAACUCCUAAAGGCACUGGAUGUCCUUUCAGUCAUCUCUUCCCUACCACUGUGCACCUUCAAGAGGGCUCGGCAGAAUCCUGGAAUGGAGACAGGAGCCCAGUCCUUGAUGCCAGCUGACCAACUAACUGUCCGCAGUGGCCUACAAUAACAACAGCUACAACAAUACUACUUUCCACUCGGCUGAGACUUGACUUGUGUAGUAGACAGCCUCUAAGAUGGCCCCUAGGGAUCCCCACCUCCUGUGCUCAUACCCUUGGGUAGUUAGUCCACGUUGUAUCAGCAUUGUUUCAUGUGACCCAGGAACCUCUGGCAGAAGUGAUGGCAUGUCACUUCUGAUUGUUAUAAAAGACACUGUGG